GACGAACGCUGGCGGCGUGCCUAAUACAUGCAAGUCGAACGCUGAAGGAGGAGCUUGCUUCUCUGGAUGAGUUGCGAACGGGUGAGUAACGCGUAGGUAACCUGCCUGGUAGUGGGGGAUAACUAUUGGAAACGAUAGCUAAUACCGCAUAAUAGCAGUUGUUGCAUGAUAACUGUUUGAAAGGUGCAAUUGCACCGCUACCAGAUGGACCUGCGUUGUAUUAGCUAGUUGGUGGGGUAACGGCUCACCACGGCGACGAUACAUAGCCGACCUGAGAGGGUGAUCGGCCACACUGGGACUGAGACACGGCCCAGACUCCUACGGGAGGCAGCAGGAGGGAAUCUUCGGCAAUGGACGGAAGGCUGACCGAGCAACGCCGCGGGAGUGAAGAAGGUUGUCGGAUCGGAAAGCUCUGUUGUAAGAGAAGAACGAGUGUGAGAGUGGAAAGUUCACAAUGUGACGGUAGCUUACCAGAAAGGGACGGCUAACUACGUG
This 495-nucleotide ribosomal RNA is filed under the name uncultured bacterium. RNAcentral's name for it is "partial 16S ribosomal RNA". It matches the Rfam family "Bacterial small subunit ribosomal RNA", at positions 28 to 507 of the family's 1533-position model. The record is from RNAcentral.